UACGUAGGGGGCAAGCGUUGUCCGGAUUCAUUGGGCGUAAAGAGCGUGUAGGCGGCCAGGUAGGUCGGUUGUGAAAACUGGAGGCUCAACCUUCAGAGGUCGACCGAAACCAUCUGGCUAGAGUCCGGGAGAGGAGAGUGGAAUUCCUGGUGUAGCGGUGAAAUGCGCAGAUAUCAGGAGGAACACCUGAGGUGAAGACGGGUUGCUGGGCUGACACUGACGCUGAGGCGCGAAAGCCAGGGGAGCAAACGGG
This 253-nucleotide ribosomal RNA is filed under the name uncultured bacterium. RNAcentral's name for it is "partial 16S ribosomal RNA". It matches the Rfam family "Bacterial small subunit ribosomal RNA", at positions 524 to 776 of the family's 1533-position model. The record is from RNAcentral.